CAGAUUUGUCCUGUGGUACACCACCAUACAGUCUUGCUGCAAAUCUCUGGAAAGAAUUAGCAACACUCACUCCAUUUGCUACAGUGGUGGAAAAGAGAAGGAGCAGGCUGACUUAUCACUCCUGUUUGGGGCUACACACUGUGGCUGCUUGUGGCUCAGAGCCAGCGCGCUGCCAAGAGUGCCCUCGGCAUACCUCCAGGACAGCGAGGGAAGAACACAGCAAGUAGUAAAGAGCUGAAGGACA
Long non-coding RNA from Pseudopipra pipra, 244 nucleotides. RefSeq lists it as uncharacterized. Lineage: Eukaryota; Metazoa; Chordata; Aves; Passeriformes; Pipridae. The transcript has 2 exons. The record is from RefSeq and is a predicted model, not a curated record.